Non-coding RNA from Schizosaccharomyces pombe (fission yeast), 595 nucleotides. The record is from the annotation of a GenBank genome assembly. Lineage: Eukaryota; Fungi; Ascomycota; Schizosaccharomycetes; Schizosaccharomycetales; Schizosaccharomycetaceae.
GCGGUCAAUCACCGAUUUACAAUAUUCAUGACCACCGCGAAAGACUUAUCACAAUGGAUCAAUCGAAAUCAUUAGGAAUCAUCAAAAAUUAAUGGGGAUUUUUUAUUUACUCUUUCGAAAUCUCCGAUGCUGGGCUCAUACGGUUGGCUGUGCUUAAGAUUUUUAUGAUUUCAAAGCGUUUAGUCGCUGACCGAGGCCUACAUGGCUGUAUUGUAACUGCAUCUCCAACAUUACAAUUUAAAUCAUCUUGAACCAUAUAGUUUUGAUAUUGGGUGACAUACUUUUUCACCACUGGAUGGAACUUUUCUUUUGCAACCCGCACUUUCGCUGUUUUUGGCAUUGCACGAGAAAUCACGAUUCCCACAUAAUUUAGCUUCAUUCUUCAGAGUAAUUUUAGGAUUAAACAAGAAAAGUAAGUAAGUCUAAUCCUUUAAAUACCCACAAUAACUAAGUUAUCAAUGCGCACCGUUUUAGCAGUAGAGAGUUUUGACAUUGCCCUAUUUACAAAUGUGCAAUGAAGCGGCGUCUUUUCCCUUAUAAUUAUUUAACAUAAAUAAGCUUUCCUUAAGUCAAUUAAUGAUAAUAUAUAAAUGUG